UACAGAGGUCCCAAGCGUUGUUCGGAUUCACUGGGCGUAAAGGGCGCGUAGGCGGCCAUUCAAGUCGGGGGUGAAAGCCUGUGGCUCAACCACAGAAUUGCCUUCGAUACUGUUUGGCUUGAGACCGGAAGAGGUAAGUGGAACUGCGAGUGUAGAGGUGAAAUUCGUAGAUAUUCGCAAGAACACCAGUGGCGAAGGCGGCUUACUGGUCCGGUUCUGACGCUGAGGCGCGAAAGCGUGGGGAGCAAACAGG
This 253-nucleotide ribosomal RNA is filed under the name uncultured bacterium. RNAcentral's name for it is "partial 16S ribosomal RNA". It matches the Rfam family "Bacterial small subunit ribosomal RNA", at positions 524 to 776 of the family's 1533-position model. The record is from RNAcentral.